Molecule: ribosomal RNA, 254 nt
Filed under: uncultured bacterium
Lineage: Bacteria
Description: partial 16S ribosomal RNA
Rfam family: Bacterial small subunit ribosomal RNA
Source: RNAcentral
UACGUAGGGGGCAAGCGUUGUCCGGAAUUAUUGGGCGUAAAGAGCUCGUAGGCGGUCUGUUGCGUCCGCUGUGAAAACUCGGGGCUUAACCCCGAGCCUGCAGUGGAUACGGGCAGACUAGAGGUAGGUAGGGGAGAAUGGAAUUCCCGGUGUAGCGGUGAAAUGCGCAGAUAUCGGGAGGAAUACCGGUGGCGAAGGCGGCAUCCUGGACCGGCAUUGACGCUGAGUGAGCGAAAGCCAGGGGAGCAAACGGG